UUGGUUCUUUAUUUUAGUUUUAAUUAUUUUAAUUCAGCUUUAAACCAAACGAAAAUAACUCACUGUUUGUCUAAAAAAAGAAGUGGAUUUACUAAUCUUUUAAUUAGAUUACAGUUCCUGACUUAGUACCUCUAGUGUCCUCAUGUUUACCUACCAGUCACUUUAACAACACCGACAAGGUCUCUAGUUUGUUGUUUUUACUCCCUUCCCAUGCCAUUUUGUUUAAUAUGAGUUGCUCUUAAAAUUGACUGCACAUUUGGUGUAAAAUGAUGCCCAGGAUGGCCUUCCUGACAGUUACUUUGGUUACUUUUAUCUGCUGGAUAAGUCUUGGAAGUGUAUAUGGAAAUGGGAAGGUUUUCUCUGACAACAUUACUCUCAUUUUGGAUCGACUUUUGGAUGGUUAUGACAACAGACUGCGACCUGGAUCCGGGGGUGGUGUUACGGAGGUGAAAACUGACUUCUUUGUCACCAGCUUUGGACCUGUUUCAGAUGUCGAUAUGGAUUACACCAUGGACAUGUUCUUCCGUCAGAUGUGGGUGGAUGAGCGGCUAAAAUUUGAGGGCCCAACUGAAAUCCUGCGGCUGAACAACCGCAUGGUGGACAAGAUCUGGACCCCAGACACUUUUUUCAGAAACUCCAAGAAGGCCAUUUCCCAUAACACAACCACACCUAACAAACUCUUCCGCAUCAUGCAGAACGGGACUGUCCUUUACACCAUGAGACUGACAAUCCAUGCUGACUGUCCAAUGAGUCUGAUGAACUUCCCCAUGGACGGCCAUGCCUGUCCUCUCCGGUUUGGAAGCUAUGCCUACACAAGCAGUGAAAUCCAUUUCACUUGGAGGAAAGGACUGGUAGCGUCUGUCGAUUGUCCCGCUGAGUCUAUGAGUCUUUUGCAGUAUGAUCUGGUGGGGCAGACUUUGUCCAGUGAGAUAUUCAAAGCAAACACAGGUCACUACUCUGUGCAGGUGGUCCAUUUCAAACUCCAGAGGAAGCUGGGCUACUACCUCAUACAGACAUACAUCCCUCUUAUAAUGGUUGUUGUGCUUUCCCAAGUCUCUUUUUGGAUCAACAAAGAGUCUGUUCCUGCACGCACAGUUGCUGGCAUCACCACAGUGCUGACCAUGACCACCUUGAGCAUCAGUGCCAGACAGUCGCUUCCCAAAGUAGCCUAUGCCACCGCCAUGGACUGGUUCAUUGCUGUGUGUUUUGCCUUUGUGGCAUCGGCUCUUAUUGAGUUUGCAGCAGUAAACUACUUGGCCACACUUCAGGCCAACCGUCUGAAGAAACAGAAACAUAGACAAGACAAGCUUGAAGUGUUGGCCGCUGGUGACGAUGAUGACGAAUCAAUUAUGAAAACCCACACAAGCCCCAGUAACAUCUCGUCUCUUGCUGCUUUUCCUCAAAAUCACCCCCACCCCCAUCCCGACAGUCGGACAGCCUUCAGGAAGGCCUGAAGAGGAGAAACCACUCAGUGUGUCGCAGUGAGCCAGGAGAUGGACCGCCCGUGCCCAUUUUCCUCCAGCAGGGCUCAGCUUUUCCUCCAAUCCCGCAGCUGGCCGGCACAAGCCCCAUUGACAAGUGGUCCCGCAUCCUCUUCCCCCUGGCCUUCGCCCUCUUCAAUCUCGUCUACUGGUACAUCUACCUUGGCAAAGACACCAUGGAGAGGGCCAGGGACGCCUGAUCUCCAAAACAAAGAGGACCUGGAAAAGGGCAUGGGCUGCCAGAGAGACCUUCAGCAUCCAGCCAGCCUCACCUCCCUCCCCUCUCUUUCUGUCUCUCUCUCUCGCUCUGUGAACAAGCUCUCAGCAGUCACUCUGCUCUCAUCUGACAGAGGAAAUGAAUCAGAAACUCAUUUAUUCUCCUAGCGCACAUCUAUUCAUUUCACAGGCUGUGACCACUGCCCACUUGUGUUCUGAUCAGUAGCUGAAGAGCUGCCCUUCACGGGGCCUCAAUCACUUUAAAGCCCGCCACACGUACACACAACAACUUCUCGGGCCCCCGGACCAAGACAGACGCCACACACGUACAGCACACAUGACAGUCAGACACGCGCACAGAGCAUGAAACACAUCAAAAAGAAGUUCAUGAUAUAAUCUAUGAUGGCUGUAACUGGUGGUGAUGCAACAGUGAACCAAUGCUUUCAGAAGCCUGCCCUCUACAGAAGCACAGCUCCCACUACAACAAGAUCAAAGGCAAUUUAGAGGAGGCUUGCAUCCCUCCCCGCGGCUUCAAAAAUGUACUCAAACCUGAGAAAAUGAAUUGUGGGAUUGUGUUUUCCAUCCCACCUUUCUGCUGCUCCCUCUGCGUUUUCAGAUCCGCGGGUCCUCUGAAAACAUUGCAGGGAAGAGUAGGAUAUAAUACCCGUGGGUGUUGAUGACAUUCAUUUUCUAUUUUUGUAUGGAUGUAGCAUGAUUGUGGGGCACAAAUGUUUGCAUAUACCUGCAAUGGAGGGAUUUUGAUUCUCUUUUUAGCUACUAGACAUGAUCAGUACCAUAAAAGCUUAAGGAAAAAACUUGAUCUUAAGUUGAGAUUUUGACCAAUCAAACCCACCAGUUCAUCCCAUUGUUUGACCUUGUCAGAAUGUAGACCUACCUGCCAUGUUAUAAACAUGAGAAUAAAACCAUCCUGAAAAUCA
Eleginops maclovinus (Patagonian blennie) is the source of this 2635-nucleotide RNA transcript. It is a transcript of the gene named gamma-aminobutyric acid type A receptor subunit alpha6a, with no coding region annotated. The record is from RefSeq and is a predicted model, not a curated record. The transcript is spliced from 10 exons. NCBI's taxonomy places the organism in Eukaryota, Metazoa, Chordata, Actinopteri, Perciformes, Eleginopidae.